RNAcentral lists this small nucleolar RNA (79 nucleotides) under Rattus norvegicus (Norway rat). RNAcentral's name for it is "Small nucleolar RNA snR60/Z15/Z230/Z193/J17". It matches the Rfam family "Small nucleolar RNA snR60/Z15/Z230/Z193/J17". From Rfam's summary of the family: The members of this family belong to the C/D class of snoRNAs which contain the C (UGAUGA) and D (CUGA) box motifs. Most of the members of the box C/D family function in directing site-specific 2'-O-methylation of substrate RNAs. The record is from Rfam by way of RNAcentral. Lineage: Eukaryota; Metazoa; Chordata; Mammalia; Rodentia; Muridae.
GGCCUACAGUGAUAACAUAGUUCAGCAGACUUUAACUCUGAUGAACAAUCAUGUCUUUUGCUCUUAUCUGAUGUAAAAA